Molecule: transfer RNA, 72 nt
Filed under: Camelus bactrianus (Bactrian camel)
Lineage: Eukaryota; Metazoa; Chordata; Mammalia; Artiodactyla; Camelidae
Also listed under: 2 other names
Rfam family: tRNA
About the family: Transfer RNA (tRNA) molecules are approximately 80 nucleotides in length. Their secondary structure includes four short double-helical elements and three loops (D, anti-codon, and T loops).
Source: Rfam by way of RNAcentral
GUGGGUACAGCUCAGUGGUAGAGCGCAUGCCUAGCACGCAUGGUGUCCUGAGUUCGAUCUCCAGUACCUCCA